Molecule: ribosomal RNA, 577 nt
Filed under: Aspergillus aurantiobrunneus
Lineage: Eukaryota; Fungi; Ascomycota; Eurotiomycetes; Eurotiales; Aspergillaceae
Description: eukaryotic LSU rRNA
Rfam family: Eukaryotic large subunit ribosomal RNA
Source: RNAcentral
AAAGAAACCAACCGGGAUUGCCCCAGUAACGGCGAGUGAAGCGGCAAGAGCUCAAAUUUGAAAUCUGGCCCCCUGCGGGGUCCGAGUUGUAAUUUGCAGAGGAUGCUUCGGGUGCGGCCCCUGCCUAAGUGCCCUGGAAUGGGCCGUCAGAGAGGGUGAGAAUCCCGUCCUGGGCAGGGUGCCCCGCGCCCGUGUGAAGCUCCUUCGACGAGUCGAGUUGUUUGGGAAUGCAGCUCUAAAUGGGUGGUAAAUUUCAUCUAAAGCUAAAUACCGGCCGGAGACCGAUAGCGCACAAGUAGAGUGAUCGAAAGAUGAAAAGCACUUUGAAAAGAGAGUUAAACAGCACGUGAAAUUGUUGAAAGGGAAGCGCUUGCGACCAGACUCGCCCCCGGGGUUCAGCCGGCACUCGUGCCGGUGUACUUCCCCGGGGGCGGGCCAGCGUCGGUUUGGGCGGCCGGUCAAAGGCCCCAGGAAUGUAUCGCCCCCCGGGGCGUCUUAUAGCCUGGGGUGCAAUGCGGCCAGCCCGGACCGAGGAACGCGCUUCGGCACGGACGCUGGCGUAAUGGUCGCAAACGAC